GUUCUUCCGCCAGCGCCCAUCGUGAAGACCACAGUUUCCUGUCGCGUGGAUGUGUUUCCUCUCUGGCCAUUGCCAUCCGCCCAAAUCUACAGACAUCCCGCAUGUUCCCGGGCUCGUCUCCCCAAUACAGGGCACCAAGCAUCCUACCAAGGCGAAUCCAUUGACCAGGAUUUAAGUUGAGACUCCCCCAGGACCCCGGGUGCAGCAUCUGGGUCCCCCUGCCCCGCCCUGCCUUGCGCCGCAGCCGCUUCCGUUGUCCUGCCAGGCUGUAGACUGCGCAGCCCUCCUGGAGACAGAUGGAAGCUCCUUGGGUCGACAGAUUACAGCUUCUGGAACCCCCUACUCCCUUCAACUCCGAGAUGGACACCCACUGUCCAGGGAGAGGAUGCCUGGAAAUAACAGCUGGGAUCUACAGUGGCCAAAGAGUUGUCUCCGUCUUGCUACAUCGACAAACUGGUGCUCCUGAGUGAGGAUUGUGCCCUGGGAUGGGGGAUUCAGUUUCUUCAUUUAUAGUUGGAAGUGGGUGAAGUGCCAGGAGCGACGGUACACUCCAGAGUGCUGUGCCCUGAUGGGCCUUUGAGUGGCCAGUGCAGUGGAUCAUCAGCCCUGUCUCCCAAGAGCUCCAGUCCCUUCUCCGGAGAGGAAGUGGGUCCACUGGCAGCUCAGGAGGCCAUAGCAGAUUGUGGGGCUCUGUGCAGUUGAUGUUAGUUAACCACUGGAUCCACGUGUUCACCGUGGCUUGCGCCCCUGCAUCCGAAAGUGAUCUUGGCUGCCGUGUCCUGGUCAUUGGUAGUGCAGGGAAAGGAUGCGGAAAGACGGGCUCCGAGCUCGGGGCGUCUGGCCUGGAGCUUUCCUACACUUGUGUCUUGCUCUGCAGCCUUACGGAAGUGUGGGUGGCGCUUUCUGGAAGCUGCACAAGUCAGUGCUGGGUCUUCGCAACUUGGUGUUCUGUUUCCAGAAACUUGGGGUGUUUGCAUGUGCUAGGUCAGCACAGAUUUCCAAAGGAUCUCUAGGUGGGUUCCCUAACUUUUCACAGAGGAGCAGAAGGUAGAUGACAGGAGGAGAGGUGGGGCUGGACUGAGGGGAGCUGUGUGUGCCAGGGUGGGGUGGGGCGGGGCGUGUAACAGCCCUUAAGCGUGUGUUGAGAGAAGGAGCUCCCUGGUACAGAGUGUGCAGCUCCCUUCCCAGCCUGUGGUCCCCGUGGCCCAAUGAGUUUUUGUAUCACUUGUGAGCCACUGGUCUUAAAAUGCAUGGUUUGCAGACCAAAAUGCAGUCCAACAUUAUUUGUUUCAUGUGUCUAUGUGAAUGCACAUAUGUAUGUAUGUCAUUUGUGCCUGGUGCCUGUGAAGAGUUUAUUGGGGGCUAGGAAUUUCAGAGGGUGACUCUUCAGGAUCUAUAUGGCUUCAGGCACGGCCAUGUUGGACAGUAGCUGGGAGCUCACAUACGUGAUAGGACCACCAGGCAGGGAGCUAACUGAAUGGCAUGGGCUUUUGGAGCCUCAAAGCUCUCCUGCCCCACCCCCAUGAUACCUCCACUAACAAGGCCAUACUUCCUAAUGGUCCCAAGCAGUUCUACCAACUAGGGACCAAAUAUUCAAGUAUAUGAGCCUAUAGGUGGAGGAACUUCCACACAGAUCCAAACUUUUAACAAAACAAAAAGCAGGAAAGCCAACUUUAUCAGAAGUUACAAUGUAAUCAGUGUCAGAAGGAAGAGAAUGGAAGUGGGAGACUGAGGUGGGGGGUAUGCUGAGGAUAUGGGAAGUGGGAGAUUGCGUGGGGGGGGGCUGAGGGUGUGGCUUUCAGUUGAGUGUCCAGCAUGGGAGGAGAAAGGGGGCUCUGGGAAGAAGCUGCUGCAGCCACCUUGUGUUCCCCCCACCCCCAGCUAAUAGCUGUGUCUUGGUUCCUGGUGAGAUCUUGGUUGACUCGGGGGUCCUGAGUGUGGCUUGUCUCUGCAGGAUUGUCACGUGUGCUCAACAGUCCUCCUCGGCUUUCCAGAAGAGGCUGGAACAGGGCCCUUGAAGAUGUUUGUGGACAUCAGAGGGCCAAAGACGACACAAAGUGAAACUGGAGACACCGCCCCCCCUUGGCAUCAUGAAACUGCCGAUGUUACUGGCUCAUGCAUGGGAGACACCAGCAUACAAAGUCUUGACACCAACACCUCAGAGGGCUGUGUUCUGUCCCCGUGACCAUCAUCUAGUGCCUGGAAAGACUAGUGACAAGAACUUGUUGCCAACUUCCUAUUACCUCCCUAACAGUUGUGCAAUAAACCCCAUAGGUUAAUUCAG
This 2284-nucleotide long non-coding RNA is filed under the name Mus musculus (house mouse). RNAcentral describes it as "small nucleolar RNA host gene 17". The stretch from base 746 to 858 matches the Rfam family "Small nucleolar RNA SNORA71". The record is from RNAcentral. Lineage: Eukaryota; Metazoa; Chordata; Mammalia; Rodentia; Muridae.